GAGAAAUUUGGUUUUUGGUGAACUGAAACAAUAUACCAAUAAAAAUUUAGCGCUUGGCUGUACAUAUGAAUGUUAACUUUGUUAAAAUAAUUCUCCCUUUAUAAGAGAAGAUUUCCUAGUUCAAAUAUAUUUUUUGAAAAAAUAUAGUAUUUUCCUGACAAACCUUUUGAUUCCUCAACAUCCAUAUCUAAGAAGGAUAAUAGUGGUGUAUUUAUGUUGCUUUGGGUCUCUUAUCACUCAGAUCAUUCAUCAGAAAAAUAUUUAAAAAAUAAUUCUAUUUUGACGUUUCCUUUGUGUUCAUUGUUCCAUCAUAGUAGUUUAGGUGCACAUGAAACCAGACCAUAUGUUUCAGUUUCACUCUUUGGACCAUGAUGGUGGUGUGCAAGGUGGGCUAGAUCGUAAUGCUAAAAGAAUCAAUGGAGGUUAUUGUAUAGCUUUUAGAUUCUCCAAAAAAUAAUCUAGCAGAUGGAUGAUCCUAUUAUCACGUAUGGUGGUGCUGUGCAAGGAAAUGGAGCAGCAUGAUGGUAGCUAAUGCUGUUAUUUUCACAUAGUGUAGUAUAUUGGGAGCCAAGGCCGAGUAGCAAGCCAUGUGUCACCGCAAAGACAGGAGAGAGAUUUAAUUAAUUGUAUUUGCAAGAUUUGGUCUUUCCUUCUUGUUUUCCUGGUCAUCUCACAGGUUUUAUCACUUACAUUUCCUUCUAUGGUGGUCUGAUCAUUGUACUUUGGGACAUUGUACUUUUAGGACGUAAUGUGCACUUCUGGUUGUUAUUUUAAAUUGCUCAUGUCUUGAUAUGUCUUUGAAAUUCUUGACAUCUGCGCCAGUAGCCUAAACCUCCAUGGCAUGCUCCAUCGGAGUAUUUUGUUUGUUGUACAAUGUUCAAGUGCGACCUUCCAAUUUUUUUUUUGUAACUAUAAGGUUUGGCACCUCAGAUAAGUUCUUGAAAUACCAAUGUCAUAUUUCAAUUAGAAAAUAAGAUUUAGUUUGAUCAUGCAUGCAAUUGUAAUAACCCUACUUUGAGCUUUUAUGUACUGGUUUAAAUAGUUAAAUCUUCUAGAUUCUUUUGCAUAUUUUGUUGGAAUUAUACUAUGAGAGCAUCUUAGUUUUCACUAAGUGAUAAAAUACAUUUUCUAUUUCCGUAAUACAGGUCAUUAGUGGUCACUUGGGAUGGGUGCGAUCUGUAGAAUUUGAUCCAGGGAACAAAUGGUUUUGUCCUGGUUUUGCUGAUAGGACAAUAACGUUGGGAGAAUCAAGAAAGAAAGAAAAGAAGAGCACUUCAAGGGUAAAAAGUUAGUUGCCGAUGCAGCCCGUUGCAACGCACGUGCAUCCCAUCGUGCAACAUGGUAAGUAAAGUAUUUUGUCUAUUGUUAUCAUGGUUUAUUGUUGUUUCUAAUAGCUCCACUUGUAGAUUUAUCUUCCCUAUGCAUUCAUCGGCUGAUACAUCUUGUACGUCAUCGACAAAGAGGAACGUCGUAUAUAUAUUAUGGACCCUAUUCAAACAUCACAAUCAUCAGAGGAUAAAAUUUUGAGGCAUGCAUUGAAAUUAAAAAGUUUUGCAAGGAUUUCAAACAAGCACUCAAAAUAAAGCUGUCUGGUUGGAAUUCCGAUAUAUCUAAAUGGCAACGUUUAUUUCUGUUUAGUAUUCCAACGAGUAUAGAUGGAUUGUGUUUGCCUAUUUUGUUUUUCAUUUUAUGCUCUGGUGGAACGGUAAAGAAUUGGUCAAGCCAGUUUGCACGAAUGGGUAUGAGUUGAGGAAAUAGUUUUUACUAUACUUGCUAAAAUGUCGUGGGAAUGAAGCUAAAGAAAACUUUCCAGAUAUUGUGAAAGAAUUUCUUGAGCGCAUCAUCUAGAUAUUGAUAGUUUUGUAACAGAUGUUUAGUUCGAACAUCGCUCAGUUUGUUACAUGGACAUGUUGUUAAUCUUUAGUUUUGUUAUCAAUUUACAUUACAAAAUUGGACUUCAAUUAUUCAAUAAUUGUGUUUGUGUUAUAUUGUUUGCACA
Triticum dicoccoides is the source of this 1999-nucleotide long non-coding RNA. RefSeq lists it as uncharacterized. The transcript has 5 exons. NCBI's taxonomy places the organism in Eukaryota, Viridiplantae, Streptophyta, Magnoliopsida, Poales, Poaceae. The record is from RefSeq and is a predicted model, not a curated record.